Molecule: ribosomal RNA, 566 nt
Filed under: Russula sp.
Lineage: Eukaryota; Fungi; Basidiomycota; Agaricomycetes; Russulales; Russulaceae
Description: SSU rRNA
Rfam family: Bacterial small subunit ribosomal RNA
Source: RNAcentral
AAUAUUAGUCAAUGCUCGAAAGAGUGAACUAGCUAACUGAAAUCAAUUAUAAUAAUUGAUAACAUAAGGGAAAAUAAUGAUAUUACCUUAUUAUUAGUGUCGUCCAAAACUGGUGCCAGAAGACUCGGUAAGGCCAGAGACACAAACGUUAAUCGUCUUAAUCAGGCGUAAAGGGUUUGUAGGCAGCUUUAAAAUUAGAUUAUUAAAUUAAAUAAAUAAAAAUUAUUAAUUAAUAAUUAAAGACAAAAAGCUAGAAUCAAAAAGAGGAUAUAUUAAAGAAUGCUUAGAGUAGGUCUGAUAUCCUUAGAUACUAAGUAGAAUAUUAAAGGCGAAAGCUUUUUUCCAUUAAUGAUUGACGCUCAGAAACGAAGGUGAGGAUAGGAAAUAGGAUUAGAUACCCAAAAUACCCCUCUCUGUCAACGAUGAAUGGUAAUUAUUAGUAAAAAUUUUAUUAAUGAUAAUGUUAACACGAUAACCAUUCCGCCUUGUGAGUACAACUGCAAAGUUGAAAACAAAAAAAUUAGUCGGUUUCGGAGCAAACGAAGUGAAGCAUGUUAUUUAAUUCG